This is a long non-coding RNA of Cucurbita maxima (winter squash), 229 nucleotides long. RefSeq lists it as uncharacterized. Lineage: Eukaryota; Viridiplantae; Streptophyta; Magnoliopsida; Cucurbitales; Cucurbitaceae. The transcript is spliced from 2 exons. The record is from RefSeq and is a predicted model, not a curated record.
CAGGUAAAACUGCCGAUUGCUAAGAUCCUUGUGGAGUUGAUUUCCUGUCUCUAGGGAGGUUUCUUGUGGAGUUCAUGCCAUUGAGAAUAUCCAUCGAUGAGGCUGAAGAGAAAAAGGCUAUGGAAGAGGCUGAAGAAAAGAGCCUUCAGAGACUGCACUAAACCAUCGAUCUAAAAGAAAUGGAUGGUGGAUACUAAAAAGAAAGAAGUCAGUUGUAUGAAAGACCAAA